UACGUAGGUGGCGAGCGUUGUCCGGAUUUACUGGGCGUAAAGGGCGCGCAGGCGGUCGUACAAGUCGCGUGUGAAAGCCCCCGGCUCAACUGGGGAGGGUCACGCGAUACUGUUCGACUCGAAGGCAGGAGAGGGAAGCGGAAUUCCCGGUGUAGUGGUGGAAUGACGUAGAUAUCUGGAGGAACACCGGUGGCGAAGGCGGCAUCCUGGACCAACACUGACACUGAGGAGCGAAAGCCAGGGGAGCAAACGGG
This 254-nucleotide ribosomal RNA is filed under the name uncultured bacterium. RNAcentral's name for it is "partial 16S ribosomal RNA". It matches the Rfam family "Bacterial small subunit ribosomal RNA", at positions 524 to 776 of the family's 1533-position model. The record is from RNAcentral.